RNAcentral lists this unclassified non-coding RNA (215 nucleotides) under fungal sp. RNAcentral's name for it is "partial internal transcribed spacer region". The stretch from base 1 to 46 matches the Rfam family "Eukaryotic small subunit ribosomal RNA", at positions 1786 to 1831 of the family's 1831-position model. Lineage: Eukaryota; Fungi. The record is from RNAcentral.
AAGUCGUAACAAGGUUUCCGUAGGUGAACCUGCGGAAGGAUCAUUACCAAUUUAAUCCAAUAUUAUAACCCGUGUGCACUGUGACAUUGUUUGUCUUUGGGGUGGUGGAUUUUUAUUUGCCGCCCCACAUUUGUUUAACACAUUUUAAUUUUUGUGGCAUCCUAAUUGUCUAAAUAAAAAUGGACAACUUUUAACGGUGGAUCUCUUGGCUCGUG